This 137-nucleotide small RNA is filed under the name Yersinia pestis CO92. RNAcentral's name for it is "isrN Hfq binding RNA". It matches the Rfam family "isrN Hfq binding RNA". The record is from Rfam by way of RNAcentral. Lineage: Bacteria; Pseudomonadati; Pseudomonadota; Gammaproteobacteria; Enterobacterales; Yersiniaceae.
UAAUAGCCCGAUCGUCACGAUGGCUACGAUAGUUGUAUACAGUGCGGCUCUGCAUCAUCAGCCUGCACCCUCUGCGUACUCCGAUACGGUACGCCGCCAGCAGAUAUUCCACGGCAUCACGCUUCUGCAGCGGCCUC